UGGGGAAUAUUGCACAAUGGGCGCAAGCCUGAUGCAGCGACGCCGCGUGAGGGAUGACGGCCUUCGGGUUGUAAACCUCUUUCAGCUCCGACGAAGCGCAAGUGACGGUAGGAGUAGAAGAAGGACCGGCCAACUACGUGCCAGCAGCCGCGGUAAUACGUAGGGUCCGAGCGUUGUCCGGAAUUACUGGGCGUAAAGAGCUCGUAGGUGGUUUGUCGCGUUGUUCGUGAAAACUCACAGCUCAACUGUGGGCGUGCGGGCGAUACGGGCAGACUUGAGUACUGCAGGGGAGACUGGAAUUCCUGGUGUAGCGGUGGAAUGCGCAGAUAUCAGGAGGAACACCGGUGGCGAAGGCGGGUCUCUGGGCAGUAACUGACGCUGAGGAGCGAAAGCGUGGGGAGCGAACAGGAUUAGGAUACCCUGGUAGUCCACGCCGUAAACGGUGGGUACUAGGUGUGGGUUUCCUUCCGUUGGGAUCCGUGCCGUAGCUAACGC
RNAcentral lists this ribosomal RNA (495 nucleotides) under uncultured Actinomycetes bacterium. RNAcentral describes it as "bacterial SSU rRNA". It matches the Rfam family "Bacterial small subunit ribosomal RNA", at positions 355 to 858 of the family's 1533-position model. The record is from RNAcentral. Lineage: Bacteria; Bacillati; Actinomycetota; Actinomycetes.